GAAAGCAUGGGUAGCGAAGAGGAUUAGAUACCCUCGUAGUCCAUGCCGUAAACGAUGUGUGUUAGAUGUUGGAAAUUUAUUUUCAGUAUCGCAGCGAAAGCGUUAAACACACCGCCUGGGGAGUACGACCGCAAGGUUAAAACUCAAAUGAAUUGACGGGGACCCGCACAAGUAGUGGAGCAUGUGGUUUAAUUCGAAGAUACGCGCAGAACCUUACCAACACUUGACAUGUUUGUCGCGACUUUAAGAGAUUAAAGUCUUCGGUUCGGCCGGACAAAACACAGGUGCUGCAUGGCUGUCGUCAGCUCGUGUCGUGAGAUGUUGGGUUAAGUCCCGCAACGAGCGCAACCCUCACUUUUAGUUGCCAUCAUUUAGUUGGGCACUCUGAAAGAACUGCCAGUGAUAAGCUGGAGGAAGGUGGGGAUGACGUCAAGUCCUCAUGGCCCUUACGUGUUGGGCUACACACGUGCUACAAUGGCAUUUACAAUAGGAUGCAAGACGGCGACGUCAAGCAAAUCCUAAAAAGAUGCCUCAGUUCGGAUUGUACUCUGCAACUCGAGUACAUGAAGCUGGAAUUACUAGUAAUCGCGGAUCAGCGCGCCGCGGUGAAUACGUUCCCGGGUCUUGUACACACCGCCCGUCACACCAUGGGAGUUGGUUCUACCUUAAGGCAAAGCUUAAAACCUUUGACCACGGUAUAGUCAGCGACUGGGGUGAAGUCGUAACAAGGUAGCCGUAGGGGAACCUGCGGCUG
Molecule: ribosomal RNA, 754 nt
Filed under: marine metagenome
Description: bacterial SSU rRNA
Rfam family: Bacterial small subunit ribosomal RNA
Source: RNAcentral